ACUCCUACGGGAGGCAGCAGUGGGAAUAUUGCACAAUGGGCGCAAGCCUGAUGCAGCCAUGCCGCGUGUAUGAAGAAGGCCUUCGGGUUGUAAAGUACUUUCAGCAGUGNGGAAAGGGUAGUGUAGUUUAAAUAGCUGCAUUAUUUUGACGUUAGCUGCAGAAGAAAGCACCGGCUAACUCCGUGCCAGCAGCCGCGGUAAUACGGAGGGUGCGAGCGUUAAUCGGAAUUACUGGGCGUAAAGCGCAUGCAGGUGGUUUGUUAAGUCAGAUGUGAAAGCCC
This 281-nucleotide ribosomal RNA is filed under the name uncultured bacterium. RNAcentral's name for it is "partial 16S ribosomal RNA". It matches the Rfam family "Bacterial small subunit ribosomal RNA", at positions 335 to 603 of the family's 1533-position model. The record is from RNAcentral.